This 497-nucleotide ribosomal RNA is filed under the name uncultured bacterium. RNAcentral's name for it is "partial 16S ribosomal RNA". It matches the Rfam family "Bacterial small subunit ribosomal RNA", at positions 28 to 507 of the family's 1533-position model. The record is from RNAcentral.
GAUGAACGCUGGCGGCGUGCCUAAUACAUGCAAGUCGAGCGAACGGACGAGAAGCUUGCUUCUCUGAUGUUAGCGGCGGACGGGUGAGUAACACGUGGAUAACCUACCUAUAAGACUGGGAUAACUUCGGGAAACCGGAGCUAAUACCGGAUGAUAUUUUGAACCGCAUGGUUCAAAAGUGAAAGACGGUCUUGCUGUCACUUAUAGAUGGAUCCGCGCUGCAUUAGCUAGUUGGUAAGGUAACGGCUUACCAAGGCAACGAUGCAUAGCCGACCUGAGAGGGUGAUCGGCCACACUGGAACUGAGACACGGUCCAGACUCCUACGGGAGGCAGCAGUAGGGAAUCUUCCGCAAAGGGCGAAAGCCUGACGGAGCAACGCCGCGCGAGUGAUGAAGGUCUUCGGAUCGUAAAACUCUGUUAUUAGGGAAGAACAUAUGUGUAAGUAACUGUGCACAUCUUGACGGUACCUAAUCAGAAAGCCACGGCUAACUACGUG